GAAACAAAACCAAAAACAGUAAAGAAAUGAAGGGAAAUGAACCAUCUCCCUUUUCAUUUCGCUAGUUCGAUAAUUACAUCAGUAAAACACCAGAAGCGGUCAUUUUUUCCUCCCGUCGGUCUCAGCUAUGCUUCCAUUUACGGCUCGAUCCCUCCAUGACAUCUGAGUUCAUCGAAGUCCAAAUAGUCAUAGUUCCUUCGGUCUUAGUAGCCUUAUUCUUCAUCCCUCUCCUUGUAGUCCAUGUCAAUCUUGAUUUACUAGUUCUUCUACUCUCUUUGGAGCCUCUUCUAUCCAAUAUUUAGGGGUUUCAUAACGCCUACCCUCCUCUGCCAAACUGUGCGCUGCUUCAUUAGCUUUUUAAGGCACGUGUCGAAAUUCUAUUUUUUCAAACCUACAAAUCAUUUCUUUUACUUCAUUGACUGGAUUACUGAUGUUCGAUUUAUCCUCCUCUGUGGUCCUUACUCUCUUGAAAACAGUUAAGGUGUCCCCUGCUACCAAAAUCCUCCUAAACCCUAGUUCAUUCGUGAAAAUUACAGGUUUCAAACAUGCUCGCGCUUUUGCCAUGGUUGAUUUUAACACAUGCUCAUUCAGCUAUUCAGGUUUCUUCCAAAUUCUAGUGGCACCGGAAGACCAAGAAAAGACGACGUUCACAUGCCCUUUUGGCACAUUUGCCUAUAGACCAAGAAAAGACAAUGUCUGCAUGUCCUUUUUCCAUAUUGUCCAUAUUUUAGAGGUGUAUGGUAAACAUAUUUUUUGACUAUGUCGAGAAAAUAAUUUAUGCAUUUAUGGAUGACUUCACGGUGUAUGGUGAUUCUUUCA
This is a long non-coding RNA of Gossypium raimondii (Peruvian cotton), 819 nucleotides long. RefSeq lists it as uncharacterized. The transcript is spliced from 2 exons. The record is from RefSeq and is a predicted model, not a curated record. Lineage: Eukaryota; Viridiplantae; Streptophyta; Magnoliopsida; Malvales; Malvaceae.